CUCAGAACGAACGCGGGCGGCGUGCUUAACACAUGCAAGUCGAACGAGAAGUACGUAGCAAUACGUAUUGUAAAGUGGCGAACGGGUGAGUAACACGUGGGUAACCUGCCCUUGAGUUUGGGAUAACCCCGCGAAAGCGGGGCUAAUACCGAAUAAGACCACGGAGACCAAAGUCUCUGAGGUAAAAGAUGGCCUCUAUUUAUAAGCUAUCACUUGAGGAUGGGCCCGCGGCCCAUUAGCUAGUUGGUGGGGUAACGGCCUACCAAGGCGAUGAUGGGUAGCUGGUCUGAGAGGACGAUCAGCCACACUGGAACUGAGACACGGUCCAGACUCCUACGGGAGGCAGCAGUGGGGAAUAUUGCGCAAUGGGCGAAAGCCUGACGCAGCAACGCCGCGUGGGGGAUGAAGGUUCUCGGAUUGUAAACCCCUUUCGACCGGAACGAAUCCCCUUCUGGUAAACAAUCAGGAGGGUCGACGGUACCGGGAGAAGAAGCCACGGCUAACUCUGUGCCAGCAGCCGCGGUAAGACAGAGGUGGCGAGCGUUGUUCGGAUUUAUUGGGCGUAAAGCGUACGCAGGCGGUUUGGUAAGUCAGAGGUGAAAUUCCGCAGCUUAACUGCGGCACUGCCUUUGAUACUGCCUUUCUAGAGUAUAUGAGGGGGAAGCGGAAUUCCGAGUGUAGAGGUGAAAUUCGUAGAUAUUCGGAGGAACACCGGUGGCGAAGGCGGCUUCCUGGCAUAUAACUGACGCUCAUGUACGGAAGCGUGGGUAGCAAACAGGAUUAGAUACCCUGGUAGUCCACGCCCUAAACGAUGGGCACUAGGUGUGGGAGGUAUCGACCCCUUCCGUGCCGCAGCUAACGCAUUAAGUGCCCCGCCUGGGGAGUACGGC
Molecule: ribosomal RNA, 890 nt
Filed under: uncultured bacterium
Lineage: Bacteria
Description: bacterial SSU rRNA
Rfam family: Bacterial small subunit ribosomal RNA
Source: RNAcentral